Molecule: long non-coding RNA, 1435 nt
Filed under: Ursus maritimus (polar bear)
Lineage: Eukaryota; Metazoa; Chordata; Mammalia; Carnivora; Ursidae
Description: lncRNA (ENSUMAG00000023914.1)
Source: RNAcentral
AUGAUUCCCCCUCCCCAGGCCAUGCCUGGCCACCCAUCGCACCCCAACAGCAGCCCCUCGAAGUCCCUCUGGGCCCUCGUCCUCCAGGCAGAGCCUCCUCACAGGUCUGACUUCCUCAGGAAAGCCUUCCCUGAACUCAUGCCCUGCCCGGCCCCCCUCUCGCCCCCACCCCGUGUCCACAGACCCGUAUAUUUGCUGACAUCGUCCAUCUCUCUCCACAGGGCUGUGGGCAUUACCAGGCAGGGCCAUGGCUUCUGUUUUUAUCCCCAGAGCCUGCUCUGGCUCCAGCCCAGAAGGCACUGGGGGGCUUUGGAGUCAAGAGGGACCAGACCUCUCCCUGACUGGCAUGGGUUCGAGCUGCGGGUGGAGUGGAGUGUUUGGGGAAGUCUCCAGCUCUGAGUGUUCAUUCAUCAUUCCUGGGCACUGGGGCCAAGGACUGGGCCACAGAGCUGGUCACCAUCUCCUGCCCAGUGAGGUACGACAUGCCUCCCUCAGGGCCAGGCCUGGUUCUCAGAUGAGGAAGCCAUCAUGGCCAAGGCCUCUGCCCCUGUGACCCCUCCCUGUGGGUGGGGGAGGGAGAUGGCGCACACAUACGUCCAUGGUAGUGACCGGGCCAGAAGAAUGCAAACAUAUACACACAAGGGGGACAACAGAGGGGCCUCCACGGUGGCAAGUCAGCAGAGCAUGGAGAAGGACAUUUCUCUGAGACCUGGGGAGGGGUGGUGUAGGGUAGGGGGGUGGGGGGGCUAUAGGUAUUAGGGAGCCUUUCUUCAAAGACAGCGCAUGCCCCACAGUGACAAUUCAGACUGAGUAACUCAGCACCCUAGUAGGUGGGGCUUAGUCCUCUAUAUCGGAUUCAGAAAAGAAGAAUGUGCUAUUUCUUGCAACAAAACAAAAGUGAAAUAGGUCACGAGAGGUGGGGCAUGAGUACCGUGGGAUUCAGAGGAAAGCUGGCUUACUUUUCACUGCAGGUCAGAAGGGGUGUGUCUUGGGGGGGGGGGGGGGGAAAGAACUUGGGUCAAGCACUUUUAACCUCUCUUUGCUCCUGACCUUGGGAGGUGUCCCUCCUUAUACAGUCCAGUUCUAGCCAGAUCCCUGCUAAGUUAGUUUAGCCAGAAUCCCCCGUCCUCCAUAUCUGACUCCCCUCCAUAUGUAAUCUGGUUCUUCAUCUUCCACCGUCCCCCAGGUGAUGGCUGGCCUGCCUUCAGCAAGACUCCUGUGAUGUGCAAUUAGCCAGGCUGCCUCCUGCCCCCCAGAGGUAGCCUCUUAGCCAUUUUUCAUCCACUGACCCACACACACACACACACCUGCUCCUUGGCCAUAAAUUCUACUUUUCCUUGUAUUUGGAGUUGAGCCCACUCUCUCUCCCCUACUACAAAACCCCUCAUUGCAGGAUGCCCUCUUGAAUAAAGUCUGUCCUUACCACUCUCUAACA